Rosa rugosa (rugosa rose) is the source of this 774-nucleotide long non-coding RNA. RefSeq lists it as uncharacterized. NCBI's taxonomy places the organism in Eukaryota, Viridiplantae, Streptophyta, Magnoliopsida, Rosales, Rosaceae. The record is from RefSeq and is a predicted model, not a curated record. The transcript has 5 exons.
ACAAGAACUAACUAUGACACAGUCUAAUGGAUUUGUUAGUUCUUGUGUCACUUGGUUCAGUCGGAGAGGAUUCCAUGCACCGUCGGGUCACUUGCACCAGCAGUGUGCAAGUCACGUGCGUUAACAGACGUUGCCAUCCGUUGGUUAGUGAAGAAAACGAAAACAAAGAAUCUAGGGUGAGCCGAUCUACAAAACCCAUAUGGCCAUACGACGGGAAGUUAGCUAACGCGCCAUCACCAACGGUUUGCUGACCCCAACGGCUGCCGAUCGUGUCUACUUCCUCACGUCCCCCAUCUUUUGCAAAAGGGUUCCACCUUUCUUUACUCUAAAGUUUAUUGUAGAUGGUUGAACCAAUGUUGAAGGCUGCAAUUCAGAUAUCUACAUUGCUGGCUUGAUCUUUGUUCAUGGGAUUCUCUUUGACGCAAAAUUGCACGAGUUCGAGUUUUAGUUCCACAUGUAUUUCCAUGACCCUUUUCCAAUACGUAUAAAGAUAAUAUGGACAGAGCAUGCAUCAAGCCUGGUGGAUGGUUUGAAAGGCAACAAUCUCUACUAUGUAGGUUUAUGUGUUACAUUUUAUCCAUGGAGGAGUAGGGGAGAACGCACAUAUCAUGCCGAGAAUUGAGGCUGCCGAGAAUUUCUUUUCUCAUUUAAGUGGUUUGAUAAGAAUUAUUGUUAUUGUAUAUUAAUUUUUUUUUAAUUUGAAAUAUUGGUAGUCACCAAUGUUUGAGGAUGGUGGAUGUAUAUUAAAACAAUGUAAAAAAUCAAGUCACCAAU